CAGGGUAUAGCUAAAUUAGUAAAGCACCUCUUUUACGCUGAGAAGACAUCCACUCGAACUGGGUUAUCCUGA
RNAcentral lists this transfer RNA (72 nucleotides) under Enteromius trimaculatus (threespot barb). Its description in RNAcentral is "tRNA-Val". It matches the Rfam family "tRNA". Rfam says of the family: Transfer RNA (tRNA) molecules are approximately 80 nucleotides in length. Their secondary structure includes four short double-helical elements and three loops (D, anti-codon, and T loops). Further hydrogen bonds mediate the characteristic L-shaped molecular structure. tRNAs have two regions of fundamental functional importance: the anti-codon, which is responsible for specific mRNA codon recognition, and the 3' end, to which the tRNAs corresponding amino acid is attached (by aminoacyl-tRNA synthetases). tRNAs cope with the degeneracy of the genetic code in two manners: having more than one tRNA (with a specific anti-codon) for a particular amino acid; and 'wobble' base-pairing, i.e. permitting non-standard base-pairing at the 3rd anti-codon position. The record is from RNAcentral. Lineage: Eukaryota; Metazoa; Chordata; Actinopteri; Cypriniformes; Cyprinidae.